This 397-nucleotide ribosomal RNA is filed under the name uncultured bacterium. RNAcentral's name for it is "partial 16S ribosomal RNA". It matches the Rfam family "Bacterial small subunit ribosomal RNA", at positions 523 to 918 of the family's 1533-position model. The record is from RNAcentral.
ACACGUAGGGGGCAAGCGUUAUCCGGAUUUACUGGGUGUAAAGGGAGCGUAGACGGUGUGACAAGUCUGAUGUGAAAACCCGGGGCUCAACUCCGGGAUUGCAUUGGAAACUGCCAUACUUGAGUGCAGGAGAGGUAAGCGGAAUUCCUAGUGUAGCGGUGAAAUGCGUAGAUAUUAGGAGGAACACCGGCGGCGAAGGCGGCUUACUGGACUGUAACUGACGUUGAGGCUCGAAAGCGUGGGGAGCAAACAGGAUUAGAUACCCUGGUAGUCCACGCGGUAAACGAUGAAUACUAGGUGUAGGGGGUAUCGACUCCCUCUGUGCCGCAGUUAACACAAUAAGUAUUCCGCCUGGGGAGUACGGCCGCAAGGUUGGAACUCAAAUGAAUUGACGGGG